GAUGAACGCUGACAGAAUGCUUAACACAUGCAAGUCCACUUGAAUUUGGGUUUUUAACUUAGGUUUGGGUGGCGGACGGGUGAGUAACGCGUAAAGAACUUGCCUCACAGCUAGGGACAACAUUUGGAAACGAAUGCUAAUACCUAAUAUUAUGAUAAUAGGGCAUCCUAUAAUUAUGAAAGCUAUAAGCGCUGUGAGAGAGCUUUGCGUCCCAUUAGCUAGUUGGAGAGGUAACGGCUCACCAAGGCGAUGAUGGGUAGCCGGCCUGAGAGGGUGAUCGGCCACAAGGGGACUGAGACACGGCCCGUACUCCUACGGGAGGAAGCAGUGGGGAAUAUUGGACAAUGGACCGAGAGUCUGAUCCAGCAAUUCUGUGUGCACGAUGAAGUUUUUCGGAAUGUAAAGUGCUUUCAGUUGGGAAGAAACAAAUGACGGUACCAACAGAAGAAGUGACGGCUAAAUACGUG
Molecule: ribosomal RNA, 467 nt
Filed under: uncultured bacterium
Lineage: Bacteria
Description: partial 16S ribosomal RNA
Rfam family: Bacterial small subunit ribosomal RNA
Source: RNAcentral